RNAcentral lists this small nuclear RNA (18 nucleotides) under Arabidopsis thaliana (thale cress). Its description in RNAcentral is "snRNA_15672". The record is from RNAcentral. Lineage: Eukaryota; Viridiplantae; Streptophyta; Magnoliopsida; Brassicales; Brassicaceae.
GGAGUCUGACAUGUGUGC